UAGCAGAUAUGGAAGAAACCCAAAUAUCUAUCCAUGAAUGGAUGGAUAAGAAAUAGGUAUAUUAUAUGUGUGUGUAUAUGUAUGUGUAUAUGUACAUAUAUAAAUAUAAGAAAUAUACAUUUUAUAUAUAUAUAUAUAUAUAUAUAUAUAUAUAUAUAUACACACACACACAUGAAUAUAUAUACACCAUGGAAUAAUACUUAGCCAUAAAAAUGAAUGGCAUGCCAUUUGCAAGAAUAUGGACAGAACUAAAGGGUAUUAUGCUAAAUGGAAUAAACCAGAUGAAGAAAGACAAAUACCAUAUGAUUUCACUUAUAUGUGGAACUAAAAAGUCAAACAAAAAAUAGACUCUUAAAUACAGAAAACAAACUGAUGGUUUAUUCAGAGGCAGGAAAUGGGUGCAAUAGGUAAAGACUAAGAGGUACAAACUUUCAUUUAUAAAAUGAAUAAGUCAUAAAAACGAAAAGUACAGCACAGGGAAUAUAGUCAAUAGUACUGUAAUGACUUUGCACAGUGCCCGAUGAGGACUACACUUGUCAUGGUGAGCACUAAGUAAUGUAUAGAAUCAGUGUUACCUGAAAUGAAUACCACACUGAAUGUUAGUCAUACUUCAGUUUUAAAAAGAAAGAGAAACCUUGGAAUAUUAAAUAAAAUCAAAUGUGGGUCUUUAAAAGUUAAUGUUGGCUGUGAUGUGAAAUGUUUUUAGGGGGCAGGAUUAGAAGUAAAACAUCCAGGAAAAUAACCAGUGCUGUUGUCCCAAUUGAAAGUUGAUGGAGGCUUCCACCAGCAUGAAACCAACUAAAGUAAAAUAAAAUAAAAUAAGUUUAUUACCAUUUCCCCAAGAUGGGUUAAAAGAGAGUAGCUGAUUAAUUGAGUACCUUUUAGAAAUGAUAGACUUUAAUCUCUGUAAACAAGUAUUGUUCGAAGUGUGGGUCCUGGCUCACUAGCAUUACGUGGAGGAGUGUUGGAAAUGAAUGUUUUUAGGCCCAACCCCAGAGAUACUGAGUCUGAAAUUCUGGGGUUUGAGGCCCACUGUUUGCAUUUUAACAAACAUUCCAGUUGAUUUCAACACAAGGUAAAGUUUGAGAACCAUGCUGUGACUAAACUUGAGAGAAUGUCAAUUACACAAAUCCAUACACAUGAUUUAAGGAUUCCAAAGCAGAAGGUUGAGACAUAAACAUGAAUAUGGAAGUGAUCAGCAUAUAAAUACCAUUUAAAAGCAAAGAAAUGGUUGAAAUGACCUAUAUUGAGAAGGACAAGAAAAAAGUGCCAAGACUGAGAUCAAGAUUUCUAAUUUUUGAUAGUCUGUGAAAAAGGAACACCCAGAGAGACAGGAGGAAAGUGAGGGAUGUAAUAUAUACCAUGAAAGUUAAGUGAAGAAAGAUAUUUUAUUUUAUUUUUAUUUAUUUUUUUAUUUUUUUAAGAAAAGGAUUUUAAAAGGAGAAACAUAAAUAGUAUUCAUGGAAGCUGAGAAAUUGAGCACACCAUAGAAAGCACCGUGCAGGGUACUGGUUAAUGUUAAGUGGCUCUCUGGGGGCAAAAAAGGAAAACAAAAGCAAAUUAGCAAUGUUUGCCAAUUUCUACUUUGUAAUUCCCAGAAUGGUGAUCUUCAAGCUACCAACCUGACAUCACUGUACAGUGUAGAUUUGCCAAGAAAUAUAUAGCAGCCCAUUAUAUAGUAUUUCUGCCGUAUAUAUGCAUUACAUACAAAAUACCCUCAAAAAUGUAGACGAUAGCAAAAUGUAGUAAAAUAAUUAGAAACAAAUGCGUUUUUAAUAUUAAUUGAUGUUUUAUACAAUAUGUAAUUAUAAAUAUGUAGUUAAUUUAAUAAUGGCUGUGUUUGACACCCGCCUUGAAAAAUUUCUGAAAAUUUAGUAAUCUUGAAAAAUUCUGAGAAUUUACUAAUCUUUCCUAAGCCAGUAGGAAACAACUCCUGCAAUCAUUGCUAACAUAUAUAAGGCUUCAAGUGAGGUUUUCUCCAAAUCCUAUGAACCCCUUAGUGUACUUACACACACCUUAUUUGUUAGCUCUGUAUCAUCUACUCAAUUUGUGCUGUUCAAAAGUCCAAGUCAUGUCUCACUGUGUAAUAUAUAUCCUUAAAUCAAAGAGCACAUAUCUAAACAUGUAACAGUUUCC
RNAcentral lists this long non-coding RNA (2136 nucleotides) under Canis lupus familiaris (dog). RNAcentral's name for it is "lncRNA (ENSCAFG00000055530.1)". Lineage: Eukaryota; Metazoa; Chordata; Mammalia; Carnivora; Canidae. The record is from RNAcentral.